Molecule: ribosomal RNA, 253 nt
Filed under: uncultured bacterium
Lineage: Bacteria
Description: partial 16S ribosomal RNA
Rfam family: Bacterial small subunit ribosomal RNA
Source: RNAcentral
UACGUAGGGUGCAAGCGUUAAUCGGAAUUACUGGGCGUAAAGCGUGCGCAGGCGGUUUUGUAAGUCUGUCGUGAAAGCCCCGGGCUCAACCUGGGAAUGGCGAUGAAGACUGCAAGGCUUGAAUCUGGCAGAGGGGGGUAGAAUUCCACGUGUAGCAGUGAAAUGCGUAGAGAUGUGGAGGAACACCGAUGGCGAAGGCAGCCCCCUGGGUCAAGAUUGACGCUCAUGCACGAAAGCGUGGGGAGCAAACAGG